AGCAUGCUCCAUAACAGCACUGUAUAGUCUGAAAGGUUUAGGAUGUAAGGGUUUAUGAUCACCAAAUUUUACCAGAAUAGGGGAAUGAUCAGAUACCAAAGGGUUCAUGUAAUCAGCUUCCAGAUGUCCAAACUGCUGCAGCCAUUGAUAGUUGCCCAGUGCCCAGUCAAUCUUACUAUAUACUCUAGUAUCUGCAUCCUGCUUAUUUGUCCAAGUAUAGUGCCAACCUGUAGCUCUUAGUGCAGUAAGUUGUAAAUCAGACAUUGUAUCUUUGAAAUCCUUCACUUCAGCCUCUGUAACUAGG
This 304-nucleotide long non-coding RNA is filed under the name Nicotiana benthamiana. RNAcentral describes it as "long non-coding RNA (NBEN_LNC007251)". Lineage: Eukaryota; Viridiplantae; Streptophyta; Magnoliopsida; Solanales; Solanaceae. The record is from RNAcentral.